RNAcentral lists this ribosomal RNA (483 nucleotides) under uncultured bacterium. Its description in RNAcentral is "partial 16S ribosomal RNA". It matches the Rfam family "Bacterial small subunit ribosomal RNA", at positions 29 to 523 of the family's 1533-position model. The record is from RNAcentral.
AGUGAACGCUGGCGGCGUGCUUAACACAUGCAAGUCGAACGAGAACGGGUUAUAGCUUGCUAUAAUUGUCAGCUAAGUGGCGCACGGGUGAGUAUGUAUAGGUAAUAUGCCUCUUACUAAGGGAUAACAAAUGGAAACGUUUGCUAAUACCUUAUACUCCUUAUUAACAUAAGUUAAUAAGGGAAAGAUUUAUUGGUAAGAGAUUAGCCUGUAUUGUAUUAGUUAGUUGGUGGGGUAAUGGCUUACCAAGACUAUGACAAAUAACUGGUUUGGGAGGAUUAUCAGUCACACUGGAACUGAGACACGGUCCAGACUCCUACGGGAGGCAGCAGUGGGGAAUAUUGCACAAUUGACGAAAGUCUGAUGCAGCCACGCCGGGUGGAGGAAGACACAUUUCGGUGCGUAAACCCCUUUUAUAUGAGAAGAUAAUGACGGUAUUAUAUGAAUAAGCACCGGCUAACUCCGUGCCAGCAGCCGCCGUAA